RNAcentral lists this ribosomal RNA (571 nucleotides) under uncultured bacterium. Its description in RNAcentral is "partial 16S ribosomal RNA". It matches the Rfam family "Bacterial small subunit ribosomal RNA", at positions 355 to 1376 of the family's 1533-position model. The record is from RNAcentral.
UGGGGAAUAUUGCACAAUGGGCGAAAGCCUGAUGCAGCAACGCCGCGUGCGGGAUGACGGCCUUCGGGUUGUAAACCGCUUUCAGCAGGGACGAAGGUUUUCUGACGGUACCUGCAGAAGAAGCACCGGCUAACUACGUGCCAGCAGCCGCGGUGAUACGUAGGGUGCGAGCGUUGUCCGGAAUUAUUGGGCGUAAAGAGCUUGUAGGCGGUCCGUUGCGUCGGAAGUGAAAACUCAGGGCUUAGCCCCUGAGCCUGCUUUCGAUACGGGCGGACUUGAGGGAUGUAGGGGAGAACGGAAUUCCUGGUGGAGCGGUGGAAUGCGCAGAUAUCAGGAGGAACACCAGUGGCGAAGGCGGUUCUCUGGACAUUUCCUGACGCUGAGAAGCGAAAGCGUGGGGAGCAAACAGGCUUAGAUACCCUGGUAGUCCACGCCGUAAACGGUGGGCACUAGGUGUGGGACCCAUUCCACGGGUUCCGUGCCGUAGCUAACGCAUUAAGUGCCCCGCCUGGGGAGUACGGCCGCAAGGCUAAAAACUCAAAUGAAUUGACGGGGUCAUAGCUGUUUCCUG